Molecule: transfer RNA, 86 nt
Filed under: Armatimonadota bacterium
Lineage: Bacteria; Bacillati; Armatimonadota
Description: Armatimonadetes bacterium (activated sludge metagenome) tRNA-Leu
Rfam family: tRNA
About the family: Transfer RNA (tRNA) molecules are approximately 80 nucleotides in length. Their secondary structure includes four short double-helical elements and three loops (D, anti-codon, and T loops).
Source: RNAcentral
GCGCGGGUGGUGGAAUUGGUAGACACGCUACCUUGAGGUGGUAGUGCUCACAAGGCGUGAAAGUUCGAGUCUUUUCCCGCGCACCA